AUGUGGGCAAUAUGGUGGGCGCGACGGAGGGCAAUCCAUGAGGGAGACUUGCAAAGCCCACACGUGACUCAUUCAUUUGUAAGAAGCUUUCUCGCGGAACUCGCAACUCUCCAGAGUGGGCCGGGGCCAUCAAAUGGCGAGACACGUGCAGCUGCGAGGUCAGCGACCAGGCAAGGAUGGAGGGCGCCCGAAGUUGGAACUGUUAAAAUUCAAGUCGAUGGGGGAGUUUCAAGAAAUGGGAGAAGAGGGGCAGCCGCUACCAUAGGCAGGAACCACGAUGGUCUUUUCCUUGGAUCUUCAGCAAUGGUUUUCGAUGAAAUAAGUGAUCCACCGAUGUUGGAAGCUUUGGCUUGCCGUGAGGCCCUUGCCCUAGCUCACGAUCUAUAUGUAGACCAUAUUGUUGUUGCGUGUGACUGCAAGACAGUUGUGGAGGAAAUUAAGAAGGGGUCAGAAGGAAAAUAUAGCACUAUUAUCAAGGAGAUCCAGGCCCAAGCCAGACAAUUUGUUCGAUGUGACUUCAUCUUUGAAGAUCGUCAAUGGAAUGUUGAUGCUCAUAACUUAGCUAAAUUUUGUACUUCUUUAGUUCAAGGGCGCCACGUGUGGCUGGGAGUACCCCAUGAUCCCUUCGUUACUCCUGUAAACCGAAACAAUAAUCAAUAA
This 660-nucleotide ribosomal RNA is filed under the name Triticum aestivum (bread wheat). Its description in RNAcentral is "partial small subunit ribosomal RNA". The record is from RNAcentral. Lineage: Eukaryota; Viridiplantae; Streptophyta; Magnoliopsida; Poales; Poaceae.